Podarcis lilfordi (Lilford's wall lizard) is the source of this 548-nucleotide non-coding RNA. The record is from the annotation of a GenBank genome assembly. NCBI's taxonomy places the organism in Eukaryota, Metazoa, Chordata, Lepidosauria, Squamata, Lacertidae.
GUAUAGCUGUCCUUGUGAUGCCUGCAGUAACGUUCGUAAAUGUAUGAGGCGCUGCUUAUGGCCCACGUUAUUAAAAGCCUUGGGGAGGGUUUUUGCCGUUUAAAAUGGCAAGGCUUUCCCCUCUCUCCCCUGAAUAGGUUUCUUCACCGCUGGAAACCGUAACUAGCGUUUUCUCCGCUUCUCUUUUUAUUGCUUUCAGUAUUUAUUUAUUGCUUUUUGCAGUAGAUAUUGAACGCGGAAGGAGACGAAUGGGGACAUUUGUCCUGGGUGAAUUCCUUUCCACAGGAACGACACGGGCUCUAUCAAGCCCCAUAUUCACGCGAUCAGAAAAACACGAAAGGAGUUGACCUUUGGGGAUUGUGCCAUCAUGACCCAAACUAUUCCUAAUUUGAUGCCUGUUUGCACUGAGCAGUGGCGUGGAAGUGUUUCCUUGGGGCAGCACAAAGGCAUCCCUGGAAGUUAAAAGUCGCAAGACAGAACUAAAGAAGGGACCCUGACUGCCUGUGAACACUUGCCCUAUGCAUAAAUAUGUAGAAAAAGGAAAGAAG